Molecule: ribosomal RNA, 48 nt
Filed under: Pseudocyphellaria scabrosa
Lineage: Eukaryota; Fungi; Ascomycota; Lecanoromycetes; Peltigerales; Lobariaceae
Description: partial large subunit ribosomal RNA
Source: RNAcentral
CUGACCUCGGAUCAGGUAGGGAUACCCGCUGAACUUAAGCAUAUCAAU